RNAcentral lists this ribosomal RNA (253 nucleotides) under uncultured bacterium. RNAcentral's name for it is "partial 16S ribosomal RNA". It matches the Rfam family "Bacterial small subunit ribosomal RNA", at positions 524 to 776 of the family's 1533-position model. The record is from RNAcentral.
UACGUAGGGGGCAAGCGUUGUCCGGAAUCAUUGGGCGUAAAGAGCGCGUAGGCGGCCCAGUAAGUCCGCUCUGAAAGUCAGGGGCUCAACCCCUGGAUGCGGGUGGAUACUGCUGGGCUAGAGUCCGGAAGAGGUGAGUGGAAUUCCUGGUGUAGCGGUGAAAGUGCGCAGAUAUCAGGAGGAACACCGAUGGCGAAGGCGGUCUCUGGGCAUUAACUGACGCUGAGGAGCGAAAGCAUGGGGAGCGAACAGG